This 454-nucleotide ribosomal RNA is filed under the name uncultured bacterium. RNAcentral describes it as "partial 16S ribosomal RNA". It matches the Rfam family "Bacterial small subunit ribosomal RNA", at positions 29 to 523 of the family's 1533-position model. The record is from RNAcentral.
AACGAACGCUGGCGGCAGGCUUAACACAUGCAAGUCGAACGCAUCCUUCGGGGUGAGUGGCAGACGGGUGAGUAACGCGUGGGAACGUGCCCUUCAGUUCGGGAUAACCCAGGGAAACUUGGGCUAAUACCGGAUACGUGCGAGAGCAGAAAGAUUUAUCGCUGAAGGAUCGGCCCGCGUCUGAUUAGCUAGUUGGUGGGGUAAUGGCCCACCAAGGCGACGAUCAGUAGCUGGUCUGAGAGGAUGAUCAGCCACAUUGGGACUGAGACACGGCCCAAACUCCUACGGGAGGCAGCAGUGGGGAAUAUUGGACAAUGGGCGCAAGCCUGAUCCAGCCAUGCCGCGUGAGGGAUGACGGCCUUCGGGUUGUAAACCUCUUUUAGCGGGGAAGAAGCGAAAGUGACGGUACCUGCAGAAAAAGCACCGGCUAACUACGUGCCAGCCGCCGCGGUAA